Molecule: long non-coding RNA, 1002 nt
Filed under: Pan troglodytes (chimpanzee)
Lineage: Eukaryota; Metazoa; Chordata; Mammalia; Primates; Hominidae
Description: long non-coding RNA NONPTRT015934
Source: RNAcentral
AAAAGGGGUUCUGGAGGGCCUGGAUGCCUCCUGACCCCUCCUCCCUGUCCUGGUCUUGGAGCUGGCAGUCUGCUCUCUGUGAAGAUGGAGAACAGCUGGGUCCAGAGCCCCCCAGGACCCGCAUCCUGUCAGCCUGGCAGGCAGCCCCUCAGUCCCUCAGCCACUGGAGACACCAGAGGGGUCCCCCAACCCAGCUGGGGCCCUGAGGCUCAAGGCUGCCAGUGCCUCAAGCUCACCGCUGGAAGCCCUGGAAGCCUGUCUGAAGGGCAUUCCCCCAAAUGGGUCGUCACCUUCCCAGCUGCCACCCACUUCUUGUUCCCAGAACCCCCAGCCAGGAGACUCUAGGUCUCAGAAGCCUGAACUGCAACCCCAUAGAUCACACAGUGAAGAAGCGACCAGAGAGCCUGUUCUGCCUCUGGGUCUGCAGAGCUGUGUGAGAGAUGGCCCCACCAGGCCCCUGGCCCCCCGAGGAACCCCCACCAGCUUCUCCUCAUCCAGCAGCACCGACUGGGACCUGGAUUUUGGGAGUCCUGUGGGGAACCAGGGGCAGCAUCCUGGAAAAGGAAGCCCACCAGGAAGCUCCCCGCUGCAGGGUCUGGAGAAUUGUCUCAAGGAGAUACCUAUGCCUGCGCUGCGGCCUGCCUGGCCCUGCUCCUCAGCAGCAGACAGGGGACCGAGGAGAGCAGAGCCCAGGAACUGGACAGCAGACAAGGAAGACAGGACUGAGGGCCGAGGCCCGCGAGUCAGCCCGUCUCGGGCAGAGUAGGGGAGAAGCGCCCACCCGGAGCCUCCAUCUGGUCAGCCCACAGGUGUUCACCUCCAGCUGCGUCCCCGCCUGCCACCAGCGGGGGUUCAAAGACCCUGGGGCCACCAGGCCAGGAGUGUGGAGGUGGCUCCCAGAGGGGUCUGCCCCCAAGCCCUCCCCGCUGCACUGCCUGGAGAGCGCCCUGAGGGGGAUCUUGCCUGUAAGGCCCUUGCGCUUCGCCUGCGUGGCAGGCCCCA